CCCUGAACCGUGCAAAGGUAGCAUAAUCAUUUGCCCUAUAAUUGAGGGCUAGUAUGAAUGGUUUGACAAGAGCAAUACUGUCUCCAUAAAAAUUAAUAGAAAUUAUUCUUUAGGUGAAGGAACCUAAAUAAAAUUAAAAGACAAGAAGACCCUAUCGAGCUUAAAAUCCAUUCAUACGAUAAAGAAAAUCAAUUGAUAUUUCUAAUUAUGGAAAAUUUUGGUUGGGGCGACUAAGGAACAGAAAAAGCUUCUUUUAAAAUUAAAAAUUUAUAAAUAAUGAUCCAUUAUUUAAUGAUUAGAAGAAUUAGUUACCGUAGGGAUAACAGCAUAAUCCUUUUUGAGAGUUCCUAUCGAAAAAAGGGUUUGUGACCUCGAUGUUGGACUAGAAUUCCUGA
Molecule: ribosomal RNA, 395 nt
Filed under: Polinices mammilla
Lineage: Eukaryota; Metazoa; Mollusca; Gastropoda; Littorinimorpha; Naticidae
Description: partial 16S ribosomal RNA
Rfam family: Bacterial large subunit ribosomal RNA
Source: RNAcentral